RNAcentral lists this ribosomal RNA (250 nucleotides) under uncultured bacterium. Its description in RNAcentral is "partial 16S ribosomal RNA". It matches the Rfam family "Bacterial small subunit ribosomal RNA", at positions 379 to 644 of the family's 1533-position model. The record is from RNAcentral.
GGAUGAGAUAGGGCAACGCCGCGUGCAGGAUUAAGGCCUUCGGGUUGUAAACUGCUUUUAUAAGUGAAGAAUAUGACGGUAGCAUAUGAAUAAGCCUCGGCUAACUCCGUGCCAGCAGCCGCGGUCAUACGGAGGAGGCAAGCGUUAUCCGGAUUUACUGGGCGUAAAGAGUUGCGUAGGCGGUUUUGUAAGCAAAUAGUGAAAUCAUGUGGCUCAACCAUACUGACUAUUAUUUGAACUGCAGAACUUG